CUCAUCCAUAAAACGGGGUUAUGGGAAGGAGCCAGUGAAUCAUGCCCCAGGCAUCACAGGGAACUGAAUGGACUGUGUGAACUGUAGCCCUGCUGUCUGCCUGACCGCACAGCUACCAGCAAGGCUUCCCUUCCCCACUCUGAUCCUGACUCAGAAGAAGACACCCCUCUCCAGCUCUCCUAUACUUUCAGGGCUGGGGACCACUAGUGCAAUUAAACCCCUGGUUUUCAGUCUGGCUGCAUGCUAGAGCCACUUUCCUUGGAUGAAUCAAAUAUGAGGCGGGGCACAGAAUCCAGACGUCUGUGUUCUAACACACAUGGUAGGCAAACAAACCGUGCACAUACUUAGGACUCGCUGGUGUAGCCCCUGGCUGUGGUAAGUAGGGCCUGUGGACCACUGCAGCUUAGCAUCUCAGGCUGCAGCCCCAAUCCCCUGAAUCCAGCUCUGCCUGCCAAUGCACUGCUCUAAGUUCAUGGCCAUGCUGAAGUUCAAGGACCCCUGCUCUGACCAACCUGGCCCAGAGAGUUGAAUCUGAACGGGGUUCCCAUAGCAUCUUCAGAGCAGCUCUAAUGCCCAGGAACCCAUGGAGGAUCCUGGACCUAUGACAAGCCUUCUGGGUGCAUGGAUGGCAACCCAAGUAUUAAACACAGAGUGGCAGAGCCCCUGGCCUGGACUUUGACGUGCAAAACGCUGCCUCCCUGGGAGUGUCUUUGAUAAGGCCCCCUCCUUAUCUACUCUGGAAGCCAGGGCAAUCAGAAAGGGAGUGGAGGUGGGGUAACUGGAAGAACUUUGCAGGCUGUCAGUGAUGUGGGACACUCGUGAGCAGGACACAUGUAACUCUUGGUCCUCGGUGCCAGUAGUUUCAAGGUCUAGUUAACCCCAUGCCAUACUCAGCUUCUGGCUCCCAUCAAGGGUCUUUCUCUUUAUACUGUUUGUGUGUUUUGGUAUGUGUGUAUGCGUGUGUGUGUGUGUGUGCAUGUGUUUGUGUGUGUGUCCCUUCCCCAUAGUACAGCCAUCACAGUGAGUUUGAACCAUCCUGUAAAGCGUGGUGGUAUGCACAGUUUACACUCCUCCAUGGAUGUUGCCUUCGGGGCCUCUGGGUCUGGCUUUUGCCCUCAGCGGGAUCUUUACAAGGCGCCCUUGAAAAUGGAUGAGUCUCUAAAGCAGCUGUAGCACCCAGGAGCCCAUGGAGGAUCCUGAACCUGUGACUUCAACAAGCUCCCUGAGUAUUAAGCCAGAUGGGCAUGUUGUAGGUUGCAUGUAGCCCUCCAGCGUCCCAGAUGAGACAUUGGGCAGCUUCAGCUCCUAGGUGCUACUGUGGACACUGUGGUAGUCAUCCGCCUACGUGCUCUCAGGGCCCUGGGAGGUGGCUGGCUUGAAGAUUGGCAAGCUUAAAUGCUUGCAGCCUAGGUGACUUGCCCAGGUUUGAUUUGGGAAUUGGCAGAUCCAGAGUCCAUCGUGAUGGCAUCAAACAGGCUGUCAGGUCACGUGGCACCACUCCAUUUAUCUCUCUACAUCUUGAUCCCUCUCAUUCAUAAAACAAAACCCGCUGCACAGAUCUGUGAAGCUGAUUGAGGAAGUGAGCCCCACUCACUAGAGUCUCCAGGGUGUAUUAACUGUCCACUAAAAGCUCACUAGAGUUUUGCCUCUCUUUCCUGAGACAUUUGUUCUGAGGCAGGGUCUCACUGUGUAGCCCAGGCUGUGCUCAAAUGCACAACGCUCCUGCCGUAGCCUCCCUUCGUCAAGCGCUGGAGGCAGAGGCGUGCACCAUCAUGCCUGAUCCCAGAGCCAGUCUUUUGGCUCCGUUUACACUAAUAUUUUACUAUUUCCAUCUUGUAUUAUUGGUAAUUGUCCUCCUAUGCAAACUGACCUCCAGCCAUGGUCCUAGAGGAGAUUUGGAACCUAGCAAGCGGACUGACAAAUGCCAGGGCAGGGCAGAAGGUUAGAAGGUUAGAAGGGUGAAGGUUAGAAAAAUGUGUCUGGGUUAGGAGUCAAGGAGCUCGCAGGAAGCCUGGAGACUGGAGGAGUGUGGGAGAGAGGACACAAGAGGCCGAGGUCUCGCGGCCCUGGGAGGAAAGCUCAGGGCCUCACACAGCAGACAGAUGCUUAUAUGCAGCAUUCCUUGUCUUUCCACCCACUGGAAGAUGGAGGGAAGGAGAGCGCUGCCAGCUUGGAUAGAGGAUAGGGGUUUUGCCUGGCUUUGCAGGGACUCUUGGGUAUCCAGGAGCCUUCUGUAGUCUGGGAGAUCUGGGGUCUGGUAGCAGAUGGGAGCUCUGGUUGCACCAACCGCACUCGCUGAUGAUAGCCAGCAGAGGGCGCUGUCCACCGCUACAUAGCGCUGGUAACUAUGAAAACCCUGGGAUGGAGAACCCAAUUAUGUGUUUCACUUGAGACAGAGAGGUUUCUUGACUGCCAGAGUCUUUCAGGGUUAAAACGGCCCAGACAACUGAAGUGCAGUGCUUACCAUGGAGGGAAGAAAGAGCCAACAAAGUGGUCUGCCCAAGGUAUAUAUACAAGUGUACAAGCUUGUUUAUGUCUAACACACCAGGUGUAUCUGUAUCUGCUUGUACCACCAACCCUCCCCCCAAUUCACACCCGCACAUUACACUACAAGCGACACACUCGAACACGAGCACAUGACGAUUGCAAGAAACAUUUUACAAUACAAAGAACACACACGUGCCCCGUAUAUCAUGGAAAAUAAACAGUUUCAUGAUGUAUACGUAUGGACAUAGGCACAAUUCAUGUGCACAUCACAUCAAGCACACAGCACAUACUAUAGGUAUGUGCAGUCUACUCAUGUAUGCCACACAUCUACACCUGUGCACGAGGUGCCACACUUUGUACUACACUCACAACAUACCAUUUACUAUUACUACAUAAUAAAUACAUAACACAUGCACACGUGUCUCACAUACAGUGCACAUACGACAUAUUUAUAACACAUAAAGUACUUACAAUACAUACACUGGCACUAUGCAAACAAAGGCACAUAAUACAUAUAAAAUAGGCAUAGCACAGCACACAUGCGUACUACAUAAACACAUACAAGACAAACACACAUCAAACACACAUAGUUCCACAUAAUACAUGCUCCAAUGCACAAUAGAUACCCUACAUAUAUGUAGUACUGUACAUAUCAGCACACAUUCACAACAUGCAGACACACAUGACGCCAUACCUAUAUAGCUCACACCUGUGCCCUAUGAUGAUGGGUGGUAUGACCUCCACACACAGCCUGCAUGGACAACACCCCAAACUACUAUACACAUGUACUACGUACAACACACAUUUAUUUAGUAUACAUAGCAUAAUAUGCACUCAACACAUGGUGUAUGCGCAGUGCAUAUGUGCACAUGCACAUACGCAGUUCACACACGAGUGUGCAUAUGUAGAGUGCUCUGGAGACAGAGUCACACCCACAUCCCGAAAGCCAGAGCCAACGUUUCUUGUUUACAGAACGAAGUCCUUCCCGUUUUCUCUCAGCCAAUGACAACACGCAUGGACAGAACUGGAAAGCUGCUCCUUCGUCCAGCACUCAUUUUCGUACAGGGAGCUGUGUGCUGGCUGCUGAGACAUGCGGUGCGCAGCUGUGCUGACCUUCUGCAGGCUUUCGGCACAGUGGCAGAAGCAGGCACGGCACAAACAAACACGCUGAUGGCUAUUUAGUGUCUGAUUUCCUGCAUUGGAAAAUGAGAUGUUUAUUAUCUCAGGAAUCUCAGAGUCCCAGGAGACUGUGACCCCCGAGGCAGUGUGAGCUGCUGACAGUAGGUGCAAGGAAGAGAAAUGUGUUCUCACGGGCUGGACGAUCGAGAUGCCAGGAUGAGCAGUUUCCCAAGAACACCUCCCCCCGGCUUGUAGAUAGCCACCUUGCCACUCGGUCCUCACAGUGAGGGAGGGAUGUUUUCAGGCUUCUAAGGAGACAAGAAUGGGAUGCCUGUUUUCAUGGACCAGAAAUGAAUCACGCCUGUUCUUUCAGAAUUAUAGGCUCUGGAAAGAAGUGACAGGAAGAAAAUGUUCUGAAGUGGAGACUUUUGAGUGGAGAGCUGGCUUCAAAAAAAAAAAAAAAAUGGAUUGAGCAUCGUGGGGUUCCUGAAGGACAACAGACCUGCCAGGCUCAUUUGUACCUGGACACUGCUUCCAAAUUAUUUCUUUAGUGUUCCGUCCCAUUCUAGGGUCUUCAGAAGAAAAGGCCAAUGGCCAAAGAGAAGGAAGGAAGGAGAGUGCCAUAUAUAUUUAUCUCCAUGAGGGGUUUCUGAACUCACUCAGGGCUACAGGCAGCAGCUCCAAAGGUGAAGCUGUCAAUUUCCAUGGAGAUGGAAUGUAUUACUCAGAGAAAAGAGGUACCAAAUAUUAUUCAGUCUGG
This is a long non-coding RNA of Alexandromys fortis (reed vole), 4366 nucleotides long. RefSeq lists it as uncharacterized. The transcript is spliced from 3 exons. The record is from RefSeq and is a predicted model, not a curated record. NCBI's taxonomy places the organism in Eukaryota, Metazoa, Chordata, Mammalia, Rodentia, Cricetidae.